This is a long non-coding RNA of Stegodyphus dumicola, 723 nucleotides long. The record is from RefSeq and is a predicted model, not a curated record. NCBI's taxonomy places the organism in Eukaryota, Metazoa, Arthropoda, Arachnida, Araneae, Eresidae.
UGGCAGAAAUAUAGAGCAAUAUGUUAGCUUUUAUUUGUCAAAGUUAGAAAUCAAGUUUGGAAUAAAAUUUACUUAAAUGUUGUAUUUUUGAAAAAUCCGUUUGAAAUACGUAAUUUGAACGUGUGGUUUGGAAUGCCAUCAAUAGAUGCCGGCACAAGUUUAAAAAUUUCCUAUUUCUGUAAAAAUUCACAAAAUAAUUAAUUUUUAUACCAGUUACAAAUCAUUUUUUCCCUAAAUUAUAUUUAAAACCAUUUGAUAUAUUAUUUUACACACAGGUUUCGUUAAGCAGUGUCAGGGUUGUAAAAACAGCUGCAUCUGUCAGCUGAAGGAUGUUUGCUGUAACCCUAUUGUUCGUUUGUUUGCAUUUAUGUGUAUUGCGAUAAGUUAGCGUUUCUGAAAAAGCAGAUGGGAUUGAGAGGUUGAAAAUUGUUCGUGCAUCUGUAUCUGCAUAAAAGGAGAUCGAUUGCCGAAAUGAUUUUUUUACAAAGUUUAAAUUUUAUGCAUGAUUUUUCCUUCAUCGAGACUCCUCUGGAACUAAGGAAGAGGAACUUGACUCUAUAUUUCUUAUAGAACUUCUGUGAAUUUUUUUAGCAUGUAACAGAUGUAACAGAAAUUUCUGUUUAUAUAUAUAUAUGUGUGUGUGUGUAUGUAAAAGAAAAUGUAUGAGAAAUAUAAAAGAUGUAUAUUCGUAUAGGUUUGCAUAAACAUAAUAAAAAAUUCUUU